ACAAACGACUCUCGGCAACGGAUAUCUCGGCUCACGCAUCGAUGAAGAACGUAGCAAAAUGCGAUACUUGGUGUGAAUUGCAGAAUCCCGUGAACCAUCGAGUUUUUGAACGCAAGUUGCGCCCGAAGCCAUUCGGCCGAGGGCACGYCUGCCUGGGCGUCACGCA
This 166-nucleotide ribosomal RNA is filed under the name Olearia gravis. Its description in RNAcentral is "5.8S ribosomal RNA". It matches the Rfam family "5.8S ribosomal RNA". Rfam says of the family: 5.8S ribosomal RNA (5.8S rRNA) is a component of the large subunit of the eukaryotic ribosome. It is transcribed by RNA polymerase I as part of the 45S precursor that also contains 18S and 28S rRNA. Lineage: Eukaryota; Viridiplantae; Streptophyta; Magnoliopsida; Asterales; Asteraceae. The record is from RNAcentral.